CCAGACUCCUACGGGAGGCAGCAGUGGGGAAUAUUGCACAAUGGGCGGAAGCCUGAUGCAGCAACGCCGCGUGCGGGAUGACGGCCUUCGGGUUGUAAACCGCUUUCGCCUGUGACGAAGCGUGAGUGACGGUAAUGGGUAAAGAAGCACCGGCUAACUACGUGCCAGCAGCCGCGGUGAUACGUAGGGUGCGAGCGUUGUCCGGAUUUAUUGGGCGUAAAGGGCUCGUAGGUGGUUGAUCGCGUCGGAAGUGUAAUCUUGGGGCUUAACCCUGAGCGUGCUUUCGAUACGGGUUGACUUGAGGAAGGUAGGGGAGAAUGGAAUUCCUGGUGGAGCGGUGGAAUGCGCAGAUAUCAGGAGGAACACCAGUGGCGAAGGCGGUUCUCUGGGCCUUUCCUGACGCUGAGGAGCGAAAGCGUGGGGAGCGAACAGGCUUAGAUACCCUGGUAGUCCACGCUGUAAACGGUGGGUACUAGGUGUGGGGUCCAUUCCAC
Molecule: ribosomal RNA, 494 nt
Filed under: uncultured bacterium
Lineage: Bacteria
Description: bacterial SSU rRNA
Rfam family: Bacterial small subunit ribosomal RNA
Source: RNAcentral